UGAGAAGAGUAGGAAAAAAAGGCAGGCAAGUGAAAAUUUGGGCACACUUAAUUAGGUCAUAUUACAUUUUUUCCCUCAAUUUGUGUAUUUCGCAAGGCCCCUUCAUUGAACGACACUCACAAACCCUUCAUUUUCUCUCCAUCUUGCUUUUAUCUUCUUCUUCCUUCGGAUGACACCCACAAAACCACAACUAACCUAGCAUCGUCUUCUUCAUUCAAAACAUUGUUUUCUUCUUCUUAGCAUCGUCUUUUCCCUCAUUCACAACUUUCACUUGCCGAGCAUUGAAGAUUUUUGGUUGUCGAGCAAUUUUCAAGCAUCUGCUUCUUGUCUUCUCUCGAAUUUGAAUAUGCGAUUUCACUGCUUUCAUCUUCUUUGAAUUUGCAUUUUCCCACAUCUUUCUUAAUUGAUUUCAUGGUACACACAGCAUAUAACUUUAUCUCCUUCCACUUUUUCAAUUCAUUCUUUUCACUUGUUUUGUUGCUCAAUCUUUCAUCUCAACUUCUAAAAGGGUUUUCUAUAUUCAAUUACCCGUAUGAGGUUUAAUUGAUUUGAUAUGUAUAGUACUUUGUUGGAAAUUUUAUUUAUUUUUUUGUUUCUUUAAUCGGAUUUAUUUGUUUAGAAGUUUCUUUUUCGUUCUCUUGCUGUUGGAAGGUGAAUUGAAUAAGAGAAGAUAUGGGUUCAUCGUGUACGUAAGUCAUUCGGGUAAUGCAAGUAAAAUGUUUAGGCUUUUCGGUCAUUAUAUUUUAAUAUACAUAUACUUAUUGCAAUCAACACAUUGAUUCAUUAACAAGCAUCUCCUUCUUCGUCAUUUGCCAUCGUCUAAAAUUAGGUAUCUUCUCAUAUCAUUCUUCUUCUCGAUUUUCAUCAUCAUUUGUAUCUAAUUUACUUCUUAUUUUUCUCUCAAUUUUGUCAUUUCAUAUCUCAUUCUCUAGUUUUCUCUAAUUUUCGGGACCUUUAAAUCUAUCAAGUAUCAGAUCUAAGGAACCCCACGGUAUAUGUUUUUAUAUUUUUAUUUUUUGUCAUCUCUUAUUCUUAUAUUGUUGUCCCUAUCUUUGUUUCUUAUCAAUCGCAUACUGGCCAUCUUUCUAUUUAUUCAUAUGGAAGUUCCAAUGUUCUUUCUUUUGUUUUUAGACAAAGUAAAAUUUUUAACGUAUUUUUUUAACUAUUUGAUUUGUAGCUAAGAAGUUAGUUACAAAUAAUUAUUUGCAAUUAUCCUAAUUUGAUUUCUAUUUAUAUUAUGCAUAAAUUGGAUUCUUUUGUCAUAAUUAUUGACUCACUAUUUGUUUGAUGUUAAGAUCAUCCUUGUCUCUUUGAAGUGCUUUCAUGACUUGAUUAACUUGCCAGAAGUUGAAAAUGAACUCAACAUUUUUCACAUUUUUUAGUACUUGUUUUAGUUUUAUCACUAAAAAAAUUUCUAAUUUGGGCUCUAUAAACUUUUAUUUUGAUGCUUAAAGUUCAAAACGUUUUGGUUUAGUCCCAAUUAGUUUGGUGACUCGAUACUCAAGUCUUGCAAUUGAUUUUUUAUAAAUUAUUUAACAAAACCCGCCCCAAGAUAGAUAUGUUCUUACUUUAUUUAUCUGUGACUUUUAGUUGUAUUGUUUGUUAUCUAUGUACGAAAACUGCUAUGGGCAUAGUCACAGUGAUUCGCGAUGUUCGAUCAGAAACUCUCACUUCAAACAUCAUUGAUCUAAAUACUCACAAUAUAUAGAGUUUAGAUCUGUAUUUUCCUUUGUUCGAAGAAGAUCUCCCAAUUAAAUUUUGCCCUUUUUGUUUGAGAAGCUCGAUUAGAUCUGUAAUGCUUCUCUAAUUUAGCUUCAUUCCAAGUAAUUUACUUUCUUAGAUCUUAUCCUACUGAAAUUCACUCUUUUUCAUGUUUUAAGCGACAUCUAGUGUGUUCAUUUUGCCCAUGUGAUUAGCUUUGGAAAAAUUUAUCAUGGUAGACAUUCUUUCUUUUGUUUUUUUUUUGUUUUUUUUUGUUUUGUUUUUUUGUUUUUUUUUUUUUAUGUUGAUGGUGCUUUACAUGUUUUAUUUUUUCAAUUUAUUUUCAAAGAAUUGUAGCUCUUGAAAUCUACAUAGAUGCAGCAAAGGUUAUGUCAUGGAGAUUAUACUCCCUACGAGUUUGUGCAAAUGCUUUUUAUAUCAUCUUACUUAUUUAUAAAUUACUAAGCGUUUUAGUUUCUUACUUCUAAUUAUACUAGUGUUUAUAGCAUUAUGGAUUUCUCUUGAUUGUGUAUUGCACAACUUAGUUAAUGAGGUUGCAUAAAUCUAUGAAGUUGACUCAUGGCCAUGGAAAGUAGACCAAAUGAUCCAAUACUCAAUCAACUAUUAUCAAAGUCAGGCUUCAACGAGUUACCACUGCAAUCAGUUUUGGAAGGAAUACUCGAUUAAAGAGUUGAGUUCUGUUUGUGGAAGGUGGUUUUGUGACGAGUUCGAUGUCAUGAUAAGAAUGGUUAACAGAUCCAAUAUAUGAUAGUUAUUCGUGAUUGUAGAUCUAAAUUUUGGCAUUAUGGGAAUGGUUUCCUCACUUUAUACAUUGUAUUUUUGAAGAUUUUGUUUAUAACUAUUAGAUGUGUAUGAAAUGUAAACUAUAUCUUUCUUCGUUUAGAUAAUAAUAUGGGCAAACGACUUCAAUAUA
This is a long non-coding RNA of Benincasa hispida (wax gourd), 2635 nucleotides long. RefSeq lists it as uncharacterized. The record is from RefSeq and is a predicted model, not a curated record. Lineage: Eukaryota; Viridiplantae; Streptophyta; Magnoliopsida; Cucurbitales; Cucurbitaceae.